UUUGGCUGAGCUUUCGGAUCGGGUUUUUGCUGGAAAGGGUAUACAGGAUUUCUUCGGGUGAUGAUAGAGGAGUUGUGAUCUGCUGGGAGAGGGUAUGCCCUCUUGACCUGCACCUGCCACUUGUUAAAGAAGCAUUUGACUGCUUGAAUUUUUGUUACAUAGUUUCUUAUUUUUAACUUGUAUUCCUCUCUGUCAUUUCUUCUAUGGUUUUUGAGGAAUUUUGGAAUGGCAUCUUCGAAAGUGAAAAAUAGCUUUUAGUUAUAUAUUGUAUGUGAAAAACUAAAAAUGGUCAAGUCCAAAUUGACACUAAAUCAAUUGAAACAAAUUAAACAAAUGAAAUAAUGCCAGCUGAACAUUUUUUUUGAUACCUUUUUUGACGUUCCUCUAAGUGCAAAAAAUCUAAAGAGCGAUGUGAUGGUAUUGAUCAAAAUUAAUGGUGUAGAUAUGGUCACACGAAAGAGUUUAAAUCUUGAUGUCAAAUGCAAUGUACAUGUAACAUGGUUAAAACAAACGAUACAUUUGACAUAUAUUUUAAAAUGUCAAAUAUUAUUUCUAGUAGUGAGAAAUUACUUUUAGGCCAUGUUUGAUUGGUCUUGAAUUCCAUGGAAAAUGAAAAAUGAAUUCUAUUUUUCAACUUUUUUUAUAUUUGAUAAAACAUUUUUUUCAUGAAAUUUAAUUUUGUCUUGAAAAUUGUGAUUUUCUUGGUUUUCCUUGAAAACCAUAUGGAUAAGAAUUGGUUUUCCAACUCACUGUCCAUGUUUUUUUUUUUUUUUUUUGCCAUGAAAAUAAAUUUUAAAAAUUAUUGUAAAAAAAAUAUUUUUCUUUAAUGAACAAUUUUCAUGCAAAACAAAGCCAAACGAAUACCAAAAGAUAGAUGAUUUUCUUGAAUUUUUUUUGUUGGCAUUGGAAACAAAUUUAAUUCCCAAUAUCAAUAAAUUUUAUCCAUUUAAUUGAUAAUUUUCAUGUAAAACAAAACCAAAUGAACACUAAAAAACACUUUUAUUUUAACAUUUUUCAGGUAAAAAAUUAUAUCAAUCAAACGCAAUAAUUUAUAAUUUCUAGAAAAAUAAUUUCUAAGCAAUUCAAUUCCUUGAAAUUCGUUUUCAAUUCAAUUUAAUUUCAUAUUUACAAUUAAAUAGACCCUUGAACAUAUUUAUAUAGUUGUUUAGAAGUAUAUGUUUGGUUAAAAUAGCUUUUAGAUGAAACUGACUUAACGCAACUUCACCGAAAAGUUCUUCUACAAACAAAAACUCUGGUAGACGGACCUCAAAAUUGACCACUUCUCUGCUAAAUCAACACAGCAAACACAGUAAAGAAAGUGCAACGCGGUAGGAAGGAGAACGGAAAAAAGGUUAGCAAAGUCGCGCAUUUAGGAAACAGGGUGUGGGUGAAGAUGGAGUUCAGAGAAGGACAUCGUAAAGAGAAUUUCUGGAUAUUUGAAAAAACAAUAUUAGUUGAUCAUCAAAGUUUAAAAGGCCAACCUCCCAAUAUAAGCAAACAAGUGUCCAAGUUAGGCUACCAGAAUUCAUAAAAAAACCAACUCCCAAGAUACAGCACAGAGUUCGAUCAGUUUUAACAUCUAACCAACGAAAGCAUAUCAAGUUUACACCAAAGGCAACAAAGCAUUCAAAGUUGUUAAUUAUGAAUAAAAAAAGCUGGCACGAGAAAGGGCUUAAUAGGAAAAAUAUCUACUCACUAACACUCGCAGGACCAACAAGGACUCCCUGUGCAUUUCCUUCCUUCUUACCACUCUCAUCUUUCAUUUCACCAUCAGUUUUUUUAAUUCUAAUUUUGUAUUUGGCCUCGAAUUCAGCGACCUCCUUUUUCUUCUUCUCCAAGGCCUCGUUGAGUCGAUUUAUUACCUCUUCAAUCCCCUCCUUGUUUCGCUGGACAGCUGGCAAAACUUCUUUAAUGGUUCUUUCCACGAGGACACCUCCAAUCAUCCGGUAGCAACGCCUCGACGGAUCAAGAGGUUUAAUUGCGUUGAUCACGAGUGAAUGCUCACUAACCUCCAUCUCAAGUUCAGUAAUUUUGGAGUAAAUUUGGUUGAUCUCAGCCCUCAUGGCACCAUAGAUGUUGGCGACGGCUUGCUCGUUCAUUGGUUCCUUACCAUCACCUUCAGCUUUCGCCAUGAUACUAAUAUGAAUAGGAAAACAAACUUUGGUCAAACUAUGACUCAUGUUCUUCUGUAAUUUCUACAUCUCAAACAGUUGAAAAUGCUUUAUGCAAAUCACAUAAUAGGUCUCACAGCCCGUCGAAUUGUGUCAGGCGGGAAACAGAAAGAAUAUUCAGUAGAUUUCUUUCCGGUGAGAACUAGAUACGACCCAUAUUGUCAUGUGUUUCAGGAUGCCAUUUGAUCCGGGUGGACGGGAACCAACCCAGAUCAAUUGGCUCCCCAACGACAAUAAUUGGCAUAAAAGGAAAUAAAUAAAAUACAGACACGUGAUAGGCUCUCUGUCAAAAAUUAAUCCUUUUCCGACAACAACUUAAGCUAAAAAUGCUAGAAGCAGAACAUAAAAGGAAAAUGAAAUACACAGAACUGAGAAGCUAUCAAUCAAUGUCCAUCCUUCUCUGAUGAAAAGUCCAGCUAGAGAUACCUUACAAUAGCGACAAGCUCCAUCUUCAAGAUGCAUCAUAUUACCACAAACAAGAAAAACUAAGCCUUGUUCCCACUGGAUUAGGGGUUCACAACUGAAUCAUUUUUCUCUACUCCCUUCAGUUCAUUGUUAUAGACCAACUAGAAGUUCGAAAUAAUUAAAUCCUAACUUACUUCAAAGACACUUUCAAAGUUAUAUUUACUUACACCAGUAAGUGUGAAAUAACAAGGUAAACAGAAAAAAUAAAAUAAAAUAAAUUUAACACAACAUUGUUCCCAUUUGAUUUGUGGUUGGCAACUGAAUCAUUUUUGUCCACUCCUGAAGUUCAUCAUUAGACCAACUAGGAGUUCAAAAUAAUUAUAUCCUAAGCACUUUCAAAAUUUUGUUUACUAAAACCAGUAAAAGUGACAUAACAAGGUAAACAAAAAACAAGUAACACUUGCAUACAUUGCCCAGAAUUAUUUUAAUUGACAGCACCAACAUGCCGCACUGCAACUGAAACCCCAUAGCUUGAACUAGCCCAAACAUUUACCAACCAUAAACAGAGGGGAAGGCAUAUGAGAGAAAUAAAUAGUGGGUGAUUGUUGAACAAAAAGACCCUAAAAUUCAUAGAUCGGUUGAAUGCAAAAAUUCAGUAUCCACCAGUUUCCUCAAGAUUUACAUCCCAGACAAAAAGAUUUUUUUCAGUUCAAUACUAGAAGGCAUAGCAGUUUGUUACCAAUAUCCAUGAAUAUAUCUAAAGAUUACACUAAUUAGCUAAGAAUAUUUCAUUUCUAUAGGAAUCCAUUCAUGUUCCCCUGCCCUCGAAGUCCCAAUGCCUCGAGGGAAAGAGACACAAUAAACUAACACCUUCAGUUUGCGUGAAACCCAGAUAAACAAAAAAUGCACAAACUGGAAAUAAUACACACAUAUACAGGUGCAGGUAUGUGUUGGUGGGUCAUGUAUGACAAUUCUACUAGAAAUCAGUUAUUACACGUAGUUUUAGGAUUCAAAUAUUAUUCGUAACUAGGAUUGCCAGUAUUUCAUUAAUUUUGUUAUUUAGUUGAUAAGGUAGGUUAUCAGUUUUCUAAUUAUAUUAAGAGUUUCUUAUAUAAGAAUUCUUAAAUUUUGAGGAGACUCAAUUGUAAAUGAAUCUCUCCUUCCAUUCCAAUGCUUAUAUAAGAAGAGGACUGUCUGUACUUGUAUUAUGUUCAAAUUAUUUUAGAUAGUACUCUUUAGCCUUUUCUAGUUUUUACAAGAUUAAACUUCAAUUGCUACAAUAGUGAGAUAAUAUGCCAUCCUUAGAUAUUACACCGUUUACAAACCUUGAUUACUAAAAAUAGUCAAAAGACUAAAAAUUCAACAACAAACAUCGUCUAUAAUUCAAACGAAGCUUAAAUCACUAUAUUUUGUUUUGCAUAAAUGCAAAAACUGAGCGCAAUCAUAAAACAUUCACGAUACAUAAAAACCCAAGUACACCAAAAAAAGGACAAACCUUUUGAAACUAACAUCUACAAACUAACAUUGUAUAAAUUCAGGGACACAGGAAUAUUAUGUAAAAGCAUAAACCCUAACUCUUUCAAAUAUGUAUUUGCUAAUUUCUCCCAGUGUUGUGUCGGUAUUGAAAAGAUCAAUCAAAAUUGAACUGACCUUAGUAAUCAGAGGGUUCUAAGUGAGAGAGGCAGCCGAUUGAGCGAGAGUAGAGAAACGAUUGACUGAAGAGGUCAGGAAGAGGUGAGGGGAAGAGAAGGGAAGAAAGGAGACUGAGAGGCUUUUAUACUUCUAUUAUUUGUCUUGGAUCCCACCUCAAAUAUUUCCUAAUAAAUAAAUUUUGAAAUUAAAGAUACUUUUAGAAAUUUAGCCCCUUCUGAGCUUCAUUCUUCUGAGAAAAUAUAUUUUUAAAUAAUAUUUUAACAUUAUUUUAAUUACAUGUUUUUUAAUAAAAUAAUAUUAAAUACAAAUUUAAAAUUUUUCUUAUUUUAUAACUAUAUAUUUUUUAUCAAUAUAUUAUUCAAAAAUACAUUUUUAUAAAACGAAAGGACUCAAACAAGGGUUUAAUUUAAGGAAAAAAAGUAAGAAGCAAAAGUUCCAAAAUAAUUUGUAUAGAAGAAAUACAAGGAAUUUGCCUGAGCUUUGACAGCUCGGUGUACAACCCUCUCGCAAAAGAAGGGGGUAGACAUCCAAUAAAAAAAUCACGACCCCUCUCUUGUGAGAGGGACUGUAUACCAAGCUAUGUACAAGUAGCAGGACCAAAAAUACAAAGGCCGUGCUCACUAUAAGCGGGCCAUCAAAUUUGUUUGAAGACCUUAAAAAACCGGGCCCAACAUGAGCUAACACAAAUUUGGGCUUCUUAGAAUUAGAGAUAAAACAUCUCUCAAUCUUGACUCCGAGAAUCCUAGCUUAUUUGUUUUUCCAACCAUGCUACUUAUACAAUAUUUUUACAAUCUUAAUUAACAACAUACACUUGACAACAUUAUCUUCAUCUAUUUUAGAAAUUAUUUUUCAAAUCAAUGGUCCAAAUCUUGACAACAUCAAUUUUGUCAAUCACAAUUAUCAACAAUAAUUAUACAAAUAGCUUUAUUCUUGUUUCUCACCCUUAAAUUGAUGCCUUGUUUGCAUCCGUACCGAAGAAUAGUUUUAUCAAGUCCUUGUUUGAAUCCCAUUUUAGAAAAAUAUACAUUUUGAAAUGGUGAUUUUUUUAAAAAAAAAAUUUUGGAGAAUAUAUGAUCAAAAAAUAAGGAAAAAUUUUCAAUAUACGUGUAAAAUUAGUUCAUUGAGGAAUGUUUGGUUGAAAAUGAAUUUUGAAAAAAUGGAAACCAAUAGAAUUCUGUAUUUAUUAAUAUGUAAAUAUAAAACAACCGUUAUUAAUUUAUCAAAUAAAGGCUAGUGAUUGUAACAAACAUCAUGUUUUUGUGUGCAAGGUAAUGUAUAAACUUUACGCUGCAAAGUAGCCAUGCCCGGCUCAAGGCCGGGAUUUAAAUAUGCUCAUAGACGGGGGACGGCGCCUCCAUUUCCAUAGUUCCAGGUCACAUCGGUCACAAUUUCUUGGUCACAAAUAACAAAAUUGUUGGUCAUAUGCACUAAACAUCCAACCUUGAUACUGAUCGACCACUAAUUUUUGGUCACAGACGCCCAAAUAGUUGGUCACGGAUGUCUAAUUAUUGGUCACAAACCCCCACCCAUCACUACCACUGCAACCACCAUCGCCAUCAUCAUCAACAGCAAUACAACAAUAGUUGGACACUACCGCAUCCAGAACCACCAUCAUCUCACCAAGAUGAGCACCACCGUCUCCUGCCACCACCAUCAUUAGCAUCACCGUACCCGUAACACCACGACGCCCACAACACACCACCACCGCACAUCGCACCGCCCACAGCACAACACAACACCAAAACCACCACCACCACCACCAUCUCCUCUAUCUCCAUUUACAUCACACCCAACCACCAUCCCCACUAAGAAUCCAUAAACCGGCCACCACCACCAUUACCACAGCACACUAUCACCGCAUGCGCAACCAUCACCUCAAAAAGCAACAAAAAAGGUCCAAAAAUCACAAGAAAAACCAUUGCACAGCGCAGCAAAAUCAUGGUAGAAACCUCCGCUUGCGCAACCACCACCCCAAAAAUGCAAGAAAAAAUGUCGAAAAAUCACAAGAAAAACCUUUGCCCGCUCAACUAGCCAUGACAACGCCGCGCAACGCCGCUAUGAGAGCUCACUUCGAUGCUCAUAGCUUUGAUUGGCGGUGUGGCUUCGAUCGGCAAGAUUGCUCAUAUCGCCAACUGCGAUGGCGCCACACUGCAGCAACUAUGCCGCCGCUCGACCCUUACAUCUUCGACGGCGACAACGGCACUCCUCAACGUUGAUGGUUAUCGACGGAGGGCAGAGACAGAAGAGAAGUCAACGUGAGAACUGAGAAGAGAGAGGGAAGAGAGACAGGAUUGAAAAUUGAAAAUGGAGGAAAUUAUUAUGGUUUUUAAUUGAAUUGGGGAUUAAUUAUAUAUAAUACCUGAUUUUUGUACAAGUAAACUUUAACCCUGAAUUUUGAAUUUAAAAGUUUAAGUAUCUGGAUUUAUGUAAUUUUUCCAUUAAAAAAUUAAUAAUUAAAAUGAAAAAAUCUCCAUAAACACAAUAGUGUAUAUAAGAGAAAGGUCUAGAAUGUGCAAACGUCCCAUUUUUUUACAUAGACUGAUUGAUAUGAAUAAAAUGCACAAAUGCAAAAUAAUAUAACGAUAAACUAAAAAUUAAGGAUGUGAUAAUGAAAUUAAUAAAUAUGUAAAAAUAUAAUGCUUCAUAGUUUCAAAAUCAUUUAUAAAUUUAUUUUCAAAAUUAAUUCCUUGUAUAGGUUAAAAAUAACUGAGAUUUUCAAGUGGAUCCAAACUUUAAAAAUAGUUCAAAUUCAACAAAAUAUAGUCGGAUCCAACUUAAAUUGGGUCUAAACCCAAACUGACCAACUGCUAGUUUUCGGAUACGAGAUAUUCAUCCUAGUCACUAUGGGCGUAUUUGCCCAAUUGACACAUCUGAGGGAAUCAAUGUUGGACUUAUUGGACCCAAAUUGGGUUGGAUUUAAACAAAUAGUUGGGUUGGGUUGAUUUGAUUUUAGAUCAAAUUGAUCAUGUUGAAUUUGAUUUGGGUUGGAUUCAACCCAAUCCAACCUACGCUCAACCCUAAUUGCUAAUAUGGGAAAAUUUCAUAUUCAAGUUAUUAAGUAUCAUUCAUUUCAAAAAUAAGAAACAAAGUUUCAAACAUCAAAUAUUAAUUAAAUUUUCUCUAUAAAAUAAUUAAUUGAAAAUAUGUUUUAUAAAUUAAAUAUAUUAAAGUCACAAUUUUAUAUAAUUCAGUCAUAAUUGUCAAACUAAUUGGUCACAUAUUAUUUUUCAAUCACAAAUAAAAUUUUUUAUAGGUUAUAAAUUAUUUCACGGUCAUCAAUCAGAAAUUUUACAGGUCACAAUUUGUUAUCAAUCACAAAUUAAAAAAUGUAUAGGUUAUAAUUUAUUUAUCGAUCACAAAUCAUAAAUUGUAUAAGACACAACUCCUUACGAGGUCACAAUGGUUACAAAUUAACAAAUUUUUAGGUUACACAUUAUUUAUUGAUCUCAAUUUAGCUAUUUAAUUGAUCACAUAUUAACUAAUUCAUUAGUCACAAUCAACCGUAUAAUUUGUGACACCACUACCUCCAAUGCCAUAGCCACAAGAACCACCAUCAACACCUAUCGGUAACAACACAACCAACAUAACUACCACCACUACUUUACAACCACCGUGACCUUAGCUACCAUUGUCAGCACGACCACCCUCACCUCGGCCAUCAACACCACCAACACAACAGCGACGCCACCACCCAAAAUCACUUUAAACCACCAUAAAACACCACCAACCGCAAAAACUACUUGCAAACACCACUAUGACACCGGCUGCAGCAAGAUCUGAAUCUGUAUUUGUUGUCGUGGCCACCAAUGCCAAAUUUUCUCUCAUGAGCAACAACAGCAUCUCCAAACCCACCAUUACAACGCAAUCGACACUGCAAUCCACAUCUCCACCACACCACUUCUGCCAAAUCAUCCAUCCUCUAAACAACAAACCAAGACAUUUCUGCAUCAUGUAUCCAAUAAACCCAAUUUGAGGACUAGAUGGAACCCUAAGCCAGAUCUCUUCAAUUUGGGGGGAAAAAAUGCAUUCCAAAUACUCCCCGCUGACAAUGAUCCCACCUGCAGCAGUCUCAUUAGAACCUCCUAUAAACAACUCCAGAUCAACUUCCUUAAACCUAAAACAUCAACCAUACAUCUACAUUCCUGGAUCAAUUUUGUCACUGACAUCCUCCACAACUGCCACCACCAGAUCCAACGAAAACACUCCGUCAUCUUCGUCUUCAUCGCCACCAGCAGCAACACCAAGCAGCCACCACCAUCGCCACCUCCAUGCCACUAACACCAACACAAACAACAUCCAAACCUAAUUUCUAGCGCGCAUGAGAAGAUGCAUCACCUAGAACCAUUGCUGCAAAAAGCAAAAUCUUCAUGCCGGGCGCUGCUAUCGCAAACUGCAGCAUAAUGCUGUUGCGAUAGCCUGAAAAUCAGGAAAGUUAGCUAGAGCAUCGUCGGUAGAAAGUCGUUGCUGUAAAAAUCCGGAGAAUGAGAUGGAGAGUGUUGCCUUAGAUAGAAGGUGUUAGAUAUUUUUCAUCAUUUUGCAUGUGUUUAAUUUUUUGUCUUGCGAAUGAUUUGCCGCCCAGAUUAGUGUUUGUCGCUGUCCAUCUGUUCAUUUUUAACAGUCACUUCCAAUAGACGUACUCAAGGAUUUCAAGGGAUACACCUAUUCAAACAGUUGCCUCAGUUUCUAUAAAUUCUGGACGAAUUCUCAUUUGCAAACAUAUUAAAAACAAUUUAUUCAGCCACAAGAACCACCAUCAACACCUAUCGGUAACAACACAACCAACAUAACUACCACCACUACUUUACAACCACCGUGACCUUAGCUACCACUGUCAGCACGACCACCCUCACCUCGGCCAUCAACACCACCAACACAACAGCGACGCCACCACCCAAAAUCACUUUAAACCACCAUAAAACACCACCAACCGCAAAAUCUACUUGCAAACACCACUACGACACCGGCUGCAGCAAGAUCUGAAUUUGUAUUUGCCGUCGUGGCCACCAAUGCCAAAUUUUCUCUCAUGAGCAACAACAGCGUCUCCAAACCCACCAUUACAACGCAAUCGACACUGCAAUCCACAUCUCCACCACACCACUUUUGCCAAAUCAUCCAUCCUCUAAACAACAAACCAAGACAUUUCUGCAUCAUGUAUCCAAUAAACCCAAUUUGAGGACUAGAUGGAACCCUAAGCCAGAUCUCUUCAAUUUGGGGAAAAAAAAUGCAUUCCAAAUACUCCCCGCUGACAAUGAUCCCACCUGCAGCAGUCUCAUUAGAACCUCCUAUAAACAACUCCUGAUCAACUUCCUUAAACCUAAAACAUCAACCAUACAUCUACAUUCCUGGAUCAAUUUUGUCACUGACAUCCUCCACAACUGCCACCACCAGAUCCAACGAAAACACUCCGUCAUCGUCGUCUUCAUCGCCACCAGCAGCAACACCAAGCAGCCACCACCAUCGCCACCUCCAUGCCACUAACACCAACACAAACAACAUCCAAACCUAAUUUCUAGCGCACAUGAGAAGAUGCAUCACCUAGAACCAUUGUUGCAAAAAGCAAAAUCUUCAUGCCGGGCGCUGCUAUCGCAAACUGCAGCAUAAUGCUGUUGUGAUAGCCUGAAAAUCAGGAAAGUUAGCUAGAGCAUCGUCGGUAGAAAGUCGUUGCUGUAAAAAUCCGGAGAAUGAGAUGGAGAGUGUUGCCUUAGGUAGAAGGUGUUAGAUAUUUUUCAUCAUUUUGCAUGUGUUCAAUUUUUUGUCUUGCGAAUGAUUUGCCGCCCAGAUUAGUGUUUGUCGCUGUGCAUCUGUUCAUUUUUAACAGUCACUUCUAAUAGAUGUACUCAAGGAUUUCAAGAGAUACACCUAUUCAAACAGUUGCCUCGGUUUCUAUAAAUUCUGGACGAAUUCUCGUUUGCAAACACAUUAAAAACAAUUUAUUCUUCCUUCUUUCUCUUGGCAUCAAUCAAUUAUUUUCGAGUGUCUUCUUGGUUUGAUCAAAUAAUCACAAUUUGAAUCAAACGACUCCAUUGUAUCCUGAGAGAGAUUUUCUAUCAUACCCCAGUUGUGACUUUGUUGAAUAGAGGAGAAAUAUCUCUUAAAAGAUAACGUUUUUUCGUGCCUUAGAGUUCAUUAACGUAUUCAGAUUUCCCUACAUUUUAUCAACAGAAGGUAGAGAGAGGAGAAUAUAGAGAGUAAAAAAGAGAAGAAAAUGAGAAAGAUCUAGGGUUUUGAAAUCAGCUUGGGGUGGAUGGUGUGGUGGUAUAUAAAUUAAUGUAAUUUUAUAACAAUAAUGUAAUAUAAUUAUUAUAAUUUAAAAUUUUGAUUAUCAUCUGAUUUUUGAUAAAAAAAAAUAAAUUACAAAUCUUAAUUUUGAAAUGGAAAGCUUAAAAUUCUGAUAGGCUGUAAUUUCCAUAUAUCGAUAUUAGUGACGUUACUAAUAGUAAUCUUGAUAAGAAAAUUCUCUUAUCUAAAAAUUUCCAGAUCUAUGACAAACCAACCCAUGAAAUUUUCAUGUAACAUACUUUCAUGACAAAGUUCAUCAAACCUAAAAAUGUUCUUAUUGAUAAUCUCUUUAUUUUCACGUAAUUAUAUUUUUUCUAAAAUAGAAAAUAUUUUUUUUAGGGGAGUAUGAUUUUAUUUUUCAAAGAAUUCACUCUCUCUUUCUCUUUCUCAUCUACCCACUAAUUAAAAAAAAACAAACAUAACAUUUUAUAGGUUGAAAAUUAAAUUAGCCAUACACAUUUAAAUAACAAUUUUCAUUCAAAUAAGUUACUCGCAAUCAAACGCAUCCUUAGUAAUCCAGUGGUGCAAAUGACAGGAGUGAGAUAGUUUCAACCUUGCUGACAGCCACAGUGUGAGCAUUCAAUUUCUGAGAUAUGGAAUUGGACUCUUUGUAGGUAUCAGUAUACGAGCAAACUCUUGUUCCCUGACCCACUGGGACACAUCUCGCGAUUUACCUCCUUCAAGAUACUCCAUUAACGAAACGGUGAGAGUUGUCAAGGUUGGGGUCAACUUUUUUAGAUGUAAUGAAAAUAGAAGUAUUUUAAUCAAUCACGAUGAAUGUACUAACUCUGUAUAAGACGACGAAAAUAGAUCGAACAGAUAUCCAUUUUUCCAAAUAUUUGUGUGGUUUAGUUAAAUAGAAAGCACCCUCUUCCUUCACCAAACACCAAUUUGCAGAGAGAUAUGGCCUUGCCUUUCUCUCCCUCUUCUUCCUUUCCAAUAAUUGCAUCCCAAAAAUCCACUCAUCCCAACACCACCAAAUUCCAUAUUACUGAAAGACCCAUUAAUAUUUUCACAGAAAACGCCUUAAAAUUCACAUAUUCCAUUCCCAAAAUCACCAAUUCGACCUUCCUCAACAAAGCCUCCCAAGAGCAAGAAAACACCAGUGUUGCCUCAGAAUCCCAAACCCAGGAAAACCCUCCUGAGGAUAACCGGGUCGAGAAAGAUCAGAGUGAGGGAAUAUCAGAAUUGGGUAUGGAAAUCAAGAAGGCAAUGAAGGAGAGGGAGCAAAAGGAACCUGAUUUCUUGAGUGGGGUGGCAGAGGAAAUUAGGGAAAUUGAGUGGCCUGGUUUUAGUAAAGUGUUGGGAACUACUGGAAUUGUUUUGGGGGUGAUGGCAGGGUCGAGUGUCGUUUUGUUAACUGUUAAUGCCGUUUUGGCUGAGCUUUCGGAUCGGGUUUUUGCUGGAAAGGGUAUACAGGAUUUCUUCGGGUGAUGAUAGAGGAGUUGUGAUCUGCUGGGAGAGGGUAUGCCCUCUUGACCUGCACCUGCCACUUGUUAAAGAAGCAUUUGACUGCUUGAAUUUUUGUUACAUAGUUUCUUAUUUUUAACUUGUAUUCCUCUCUGUCAUUUCUUCUAUGGUUUUUGAGGAAUUUUGGAAUGGCAUCGCCUUAGAUAGAAGGUGUUAGAUAUUUUUCAUCAUUUUGCAUGUGUUUAAUUUUUUGUCUUGCGAAUGAUUUGCCGCCCAGAUUAGUGUUUGUCGCUGUCCAUCUGUUCAUUUUUAACAGUCACUUCCAAUAGACGUACUCAAGGAUUUCAAGGGAUACACCUAUUCAAACAGUUGCCUCAGUUUCUAUAAAUUCUGGACGAAUUCUCAUUUGCAAACAUAUUAAAAACAAUUUAUUCUUCCUUCUUUCUCUUGGCAUCAAUCAGUUAUUUUCGAGUGUCUUCUUGGUUUGAUCAAAUAAUCAUAAUUUGAAUCAAACGACUCCAUUGUAUUCUGAGAGAGAUUUUCUAUCAUACCCCAGUUGUGACUUUGUUGAAUAUGGGAGAAAUAUCUCUUAAAAGAUAACGUUUUUUCGUGCCUUGGAGUUCAUUAACGUAUUCAGAUUUCCCUACAUUUUAUCAACAGAAGGUAGAGAGAGGAGAAUAUAGAGAGUAAAAAAGAGAAGAAAAUGAGAAAGAUCUAGGGUUUUGAAAUCUGCUUGGGGUGGAUGGUGUGGUGGUAUAUAAAUUAAUGUAAUUUUAUAACAAUAAUGUAAUAUAAUUAUUAUAAUUUAAAAUUUUGAUUAUCAUCUGAUUUUUGAUAAAAAAAAAUAAAUUACAAAUCUUAAUUUUGAAAUGGAAAGUUUAAAAUUCUGAUAGGCUGUAAUUUCCAUAUAUCGAUAUUAGUGACGUUACUAAUAGUAAUCUUGAUAAGAAAAUUCUCUUAUCUAAAAAUUUCCAAAUCUAUGACAAACCAACCCAUGAAAUUUUCAUGUAACAUACUUUCAUGACAAAGUUCAUCAAACCUAAAAAUGUUCUUAUUGAUAAUCUCUUUAUUUUCAUACCUUUGAUCACGUAAUUAUAUUUUUUCUAAAAUAAAUUUUUUUUUUUAGGGGAGUAUGAUUUUAUUUUUCAAAGAAUUCACUCUCUCUUUCUCUUUCUCAUCUACCUACUAAUAAAAAAAAAAAAAACAAACAUAACAUUUUAUAGGUUGAAAAUUAAAUUAACCAUACACAUUUAAAUAACAAUUUUCAUUCAACUAAGUUACACGCAAUCAAACGCAUCCUUAGUAAUCCAGUAGUGCAAAUGACAGGAGUGAGAUAGUCUCAACCUUGCUGACAGCCACAGUGUGAGCGUUCAAUUUCUGAGAUAUGGAAUUGGACUCUUUGUAGGCAUCAGUAUACGAGCAAACUCUUGUUCCCUGACCCGCUGGAACACAUCUCGUGAUUUACCUCCUUCAAGAUACUCCAUUAAUGAGACGGUGAGAGUUGUCAAGAUUGGGGUGAACUUUUUUAGAUGUAAUGAAAAUAGAAGUAUUUUAAUCAAUCACGAUGAAUGUACUAACUCUGUAUAAGACGACGAAAAUAGAUCGAACAGAUAUCCAUUUUUCCAAAUAUUUGUGUGGUUUAGUUAAAUAGAAAGCACCCUCUUCCUUCACCAAACACCAAUUUGCAGAGAGAUAUGGCCUUGCCUUUCUCUCCCUCUUCUUCCUUUCCAAUAAUUGCAUCCCAAAAAUCCACUCAUCCCAACACCACCAAAUUCCAUAUUACUGAAAGACCCAUUAAUAUUUUCACAGAAAACGCCUUAAAAUUCACAUAUUCCAUUCCCAAAAUCACCAAUUCGACCUUCCUCAACAAAGCCUCCCAAGAGCAAGAAAACACCAGUGUUGCCUCAGAAUCCCAAACCCAGGAAAACCCUCCUGAGGAUAACCGGGUCGAGAAAGAUCAGAGUGAGGGAAUAUCAGAAUUGGGUAUGGAAAUCAAGAAGGCAAUGAAGGAGAGGGAGCAAAAGGAACCUGAUUUCUUGAGUGGGGUGGCAGAGGAAAUUAGGGAAAUUGAGUGGCCUGGUUUUAGUAAAGUGUUGGGAACUACUGGAAUUGUUUUGGGGGUGAUGGCAGGGUCGAGUGUCGUUUUGUUAACUGUUAAUGCCGUUUUGGCUGAGCUUUCGGAUCGGGUUUUUGCUGGAAAGGGUAUACAGGAUUUCUUCGGGUGAUGAUAGAGGAGUUGUGAUCUGCUGGGAGAGGGUAUGCCCUCUUGACCUGCACCUGCCACUUGUUAAAGAAGCAUUUGACUGCUUGAAUUUUUGUUACAUAGUUUCUUAUUUUUAACUUGUAUUCCUCUCUGUCAUUUCUUCUAUGGUUUUUGAGGAAUUUUGGAAUGGCAUCUUCGAAAGUGAAAAAUAGCUUUUAGUUAUAUAUUGUAUGUGAAAAACUAAAAAUGGUCAAGUCCAAAUUGACACUAAAUCAAUUGAAACAAAUUAAACAAAUGAAAUAAUGCCAGCUGAACAUUUUUUUUGAUACCUUUUUUGACGUUCCUCUAAGUGCAAAAAAU
RNAcentral lists this long non-coding RNA (14481 nucleotides) under Olea europaea (common olive). Its description in RNAcentral is "long non-coding RNA (OEUR_LNC011835)". The record is from RNAcentral. Lineage: Eukaryota; Viridiplantae; Streptophyta; Magnoliopsida; Lamiales; Oleaceae.